This 468-nucleotide ribosomal RNA is filed under the name uncultured bacterium. RNAcentral describes it as "partial 16S ribosomal RNA". It matches the Rfam family "Bacterial small subunit ribosomal RNA", at positions 28 to 507 of the family's 1533-position model. The record is from RNAcentral.
GACGAACGCUGGCGGCGUGCUUAACACAUGCAAGUCGAACGGAAAGGCCCUGCUUUUGUGGGGUGCUCGAGUGGCGAACGGGUGAGUAACACGUGAGUAACCUGCCCUUGACUUUGGGAUAACUUCAGGAAACUGGGGCUAAUACCGGAUAGGAGCUCCUGCUGCAUGGUGGGGGUUGGAAAGUUUCGGCGGUUGGGGAUGGACUCGCGGCUUAUCAGCUUGUUGGUGGGGUAGUGGCUUACCAAGGCUUUGACGGGUAGCCGGCCUGAGAGGGUGACCGGCCACAUUGGGACUGAGAUACGGCCCAGACUCCUACGGGAGGCAUCAGUGGGGAAUAUUGCACAAUGGGCGGAAGCCUGAUGCAGCAACGCCGCGUGCGGGAUGACGGCCUUCGGGUUGUAAACCGCUUUCGCCUGUGACGAAGCGUGAGUGACGGUAAUGGGUAAAGAAGCACCGGCUAACUACGUG